AGGGCAUACGGUGGAUGCCUAGGCGCCAGGAGCCGAAGAAGGACGCGGUAAGCUGCGAAAAGCCACGGGGAACUGCAAGCGAGUAUUGAUCCGUGGAUAUCCGAAUGGGGAAACCCGGCCAUCGUAAUGGAUGGUCAUCCGCAAGGAAGGGAACCCGGGGAACUGAAACAUCUAAGUACCCGGAGGAAAAGAAAUCAAACGAGAUGCCCACAGUAGCGGCGAGCGAAGAGGGCAGAGCCCAAACCUGUAAGCUACGGCUUAUGGGGGUUGAGGACUGACGUAAUUAAGGCCAGGCUUAGCUGAACUACCUGGGAAGGUAGGCGAUAGAAGGUAAGAGCCCUGUAAGCGAAAAGCAGAGCCUUAAGGUCAGUAUCCAGAGUACCACGGAGCACGAGGAAUUCUGUGGGAAGCAGGGGGGACCACCCUCCAAGGCUAAAGACUAACUGGCGACCGAUAGCGCAUAGUACCGUGAGGGAAAGGUGAAAAGAACCCCGGGAGGGGAGUGAAAUAGUACCUGAAACCGUAUGUCUACAAGCAGUCGGAGCGAAAGCGACGGCGUGCCUAUUGAAGAAUGAACCAACGAGUUAUCUGCACUAGCGAGGUUAAGUGGAAGACACGGAGCCGUAGCGAAAGCGAGUCUGAAAAGGGCGAUGAGUUAGUGUAGGUAGACCCGAAACCGCAGUGAUCUACCCAUGUCCAGGUUGAAGCGCAGGUAAAAAUGCGUGGAGGACCGAACCGGUGAGCGUUGAAAAGCUUUCGGAUGAGAUGUGGGUAGGGGUGAAAUUCCAAUCGAACGCGGAGAUAGCUGGUUCUCCCCGAAAUAGCUUUAGGGCUAGCCUCAGGUAGUAAGUAUAGGCGGUAGAGCACUGAUCGGGCUAGGGGCCAUAAAGGUUACCGAACCCUGUCAAACUCCGAAUGGAUAUACUGCAGAGCCUGGGAGUCAGACUACGAGUGAUAAGAUCCGUGGUCAAAAGGGAAACAGCCCAGACCACCGGCUAAGGUCCCAAAUGCCGUACUAAGUGGAAAAGGAUGUGGGGAUUCAUAAACAACCAGGAUGUUGGCUCAGAAGCAGCCACCAUUUAAAGAGUGCGUAAUAGCUCACUGGUCGAGAGUCCCUGCGCCGAAAAUUUCCGGGGCUAAAGUACGGAACCGAAGCCGUGGCUGUGUACGUAAGUACACGGGGUAGGGGAGCGUUGCCACAGGGGUGAAGCUGGUCUGGAAGGACUGGUGGACUUGUGGGAAGUGAGAAUGUUGGUAUGAGUAGCGAAAAGAAAGGUGAGAAUCCUUUCCACCGAAAGCAUAAGGAUUCCUGAGCAACGAUCGUCGUCUCAGGGUAAGUCGGGACCUAAUCCGAGGCAAGGAGCGUAGGAGAUGGACAACAGGUUGAUAUUCCUGUACCGGCAGCAAUUGUUUGAGCGAAGGAGUGACACAGAAGGGCAGGCAGGCGCGAGACUGGAUUGUCGCGUGCAAGCGUGUAGGGUAGUGUACAGGCAAAUCCGUACACUGAGAGCCUGAGGCGUUACGCGGAGCGAGCAGAGAUGCGAGCGAAGCUGCUGAUCCCACACUGUCGAGAAAAGCUUCUAGUGAGAGAGCUGCCGCCCGUACCGUAAACCGACACAGGUAUGCGGGGAGAGAAUCCUAAGGUGCGCGGGAGAACCCUCGUUAAGGAACUCGGCAAAAUGUACCCGUAACUUCGGGAUAAGGGUAGCCGUCUUGGUGAAGGAGCAUGCCUCUGGAGCUGAAGGCGGUCGCAGAGAAGAGGCCCAAGCGACUGUUUACCACAAACACAGGUGCCUGCUAAAGCGAAAGCUGACGUAUAGGUGCUGACACCUGCCCAGUGCUGGAAGGUUAAGGAAGGAUGUCCGGGCAACCAAAGCAUUCGACCGAAGCCCCAGUGAACGGCGGCCGUAACUAUAACGGUCCUAAGGUAGCGAAAUUCCUUGUCGGGUAAGUUCCGACCCGCACGAAAGGCGUAAUGAUUUGAGCGCUGUCUCGACAAUGCACCCGGUGAAAUUGAAGUACCAGUGAAGAUGCUGGUUACCUGCGCCAGGACGGAAAGACCCCAUGGAGCUUUACU
Molecule: ribosomal RNA, 2077 nt
Filed under: human gut metagenome
Description: bacterial LSU rRNA
Rfam family: Bacterial large subunit ribosomal RNA
Source: RNAcentral